AAAAACAAAAUUAAAUGAUGUGAAAAAAAUUAAAAGAAAAUUAAACAAAUAAUUCAUAAAAUUGUUUGAAAUGUUUGGCAAGAUUGAUGAUGAUAUUAGUAAUAAAAAGCAUGAUUGGAAAUAGCAGUAGCAGCGGCGCCGGAGAACGCGGAAUGGACAGCCUCAACCUAUCCAUGUAACUAAACUAAAUACAAGGAAGAGAUACACACCUGUGCGGUUUUUUUUCGACAGUGUGUUGAUCAUCAUCAUCAUCUCGGGAACAAUCCUCCGCGCGCUACCGCGAAAGUGCCACUAUGUUACGUUCCAAUCGUCUCAAACACGCGUCGUGUUCUUUUUCAUUUCUAAUUUUUCCUUAUUCUGUAACUUUUUAUAUUUUUAAGUUAAUAAUUUAAUUUUAAUUCAUUCAUCUUUGAUUUUAAGACGGGAAUCCAUGCUAUCUUGCAACGCUUUAUAAAUGAUAAUUGUUCGAUAGUAGCCUAAUAUCAAACCAAUAUUAAAUUAAAUCCAUAAUCAGUCUAAAGAAUUUCACCUAAAUUCAAUAAAAUUGAGAAAGUGGGAGGAAAAAAUUUAGAAAAAAUUAUUUUACAACAGAAAAAUGCCUAGAAAAAGUGAUAUUGAAGUUUGAGUGGAAUUUUGAGUGAAAUAAUUUAUUGUUAUAAAUAAUAACAAAACGCGUAAAAAUUUCAAUGAAUUUUAAGAGCAAGUGAUUAGUGAAGUGAUGAAUGUAACAAAACGUUUCGAGGCAGGAGUUUAUGGCGAAUUCAGGAAUUUGACAAAUGUGAAAUUAAUAAAAUGUGCAACAAUUAGAUAUAUGAAAAUAGUAAUAUUCGAAAAUAAGAAUAUUUGAAAAUAAUAUAUAAGAAAAGGUUAAAAGUGCAGAACACUAUUACAUGCAACAAACUGCGAGCACUCGCGAGCAUGAAAAAUCAUCCCUUCGGAAAAAGAACCAAUGUCAAAUCCUCUCAUAAAUGUCAAGUUUACAAUGGAACCUACCGUGCCCAAGAAGCAUCAUCAUCUUCACUGAUUGAUUGAGAAGAUCACCUAAAACUUUUCUUGUUUCUUUGUUUUGAUUCCAUGCUUUUUCGUACUAAAAAUAUUGAAUAAAUUCCAAAAUAAAUGCUUAAAAAAUCGAAAAUAAAUAAAAUUGAAUUGAUCACGAGCGCAUAAAUUAUUUGUAAUGGGCGAUCACAGAAAACUUAAAACGUAUAAGAAAAAGCCCAAGGAACUUAAAAGAUCGCGACCCAUUGGAGCUGAGCAUAUCCUUCAACUUAGUGGCGAGGGUGGCAAUGUUGGAGAUCUCGCCCAUCAAACACCGGAACAGCACCAAGGUCAGGUAGCAACCAGUAGCCGACUUCAACCAACAGUAUUUGCAGGAUUAGCGGAAUCGAAUGUCGACGGUGGGGCAGAUAGCGGGCACGCUAGUACCAUGGGUCGUAAAGUACACCGUGGUGACAAGGAUACAACGGGGAAGAAAAGUGGCCCAACAAAAGAGCGUUGGCUUUUGACACGCAAAACAUGGAAAUAUAUGCAACAGGCAGGUCGUCGUUUGAUUCCAGAUGGUGCACAAAAUCGGGCCGAGGAUGUGCCAAAACUUGAAGAAUUUUUUCAACAAGUUUGCCGGUCUGAACAGAAGUUUAUAAUAUGGAGCCGAAAAAGUUCAUAUCCGGGAGCGAUAGCAGCAUCGCGAAAACUUAAGCGACGAAUUCGACCAAGUGUGAGACAUCGAUCUAAAGCAAGUUCUGCCGAUGAAGCUGAAACCGAUGAGUACAAAGAGUAUGAUCGUCGAGCUGCUAUGGUUAUCCGACUCCUGCAUAGUUACCUCAACAUUUCGGAGCAAGAUAAACGACAGCCAGAACGCAGUUCAGAGUCACAAAUACCAACAACUGUACCAGGAGCAACAAGUGAACCAUCAACUAGUCGGUCAUCGUAUUCUUCUGUAUCCGUGACUACCUCGUCCUAUGGAUCACAACAACGGUCCCCGACUUCAUCGGACCAGCAAGGCGAAUCGGAUCUAUCGAAACGAACUGCUGAGCUUUUGGAAAGUCUUCGUUUGUAUAGCCAAGCCGCACACCGACCGAUCAUUCCACCCGAACAUAUAACUACGGAUCUUCUGCACAAUAAAACGUUACUGAAGAAAAUCUACAAUGAUCUCAAGAGGCAGCAGCUAUCUUUAGUAUUAAAUAGACACACUGCAGCAUCAACCAAUAAUCUGUCGCAUGCCAGCUCUCUGACGAGCCUCUUCAGUUUUCGGCGGGAUCAGCCCAAAACAUCACCCACCAGUAGUCUCAACGUAAAACUAAGAAGCACUGGAGGAGCUACAAACCUAUCUGGCCCCGAUGGAAACAAGGACACCUUCACAGGUGAUAAAGGCUUCCAAUUACCAAAAGAAAAGUACAUACGCCCCACAAACCAAUUGGUCCCUUUCAUAUCGGUCGUGAAACCAGCGAAAACCUUCACGACUCAGGGAAUGCAGACUGACUUCCUGCAACUGCAUGAAAUCAAUAACUUGCGAAAGGACUAUGAAACAAGAAAAAAGGAAUUGGAACUGCUAAACCAAGCACCUGAGGAAGAGGCCGAUUUUACAUCAAGGUCGCAUUCACGCCGAAAGAGUAGCGUCGAUAAUGAGGAUGUCUCCCAAUCGGUUAGUGAUACCAUCAAGCGAUACUUGCGAAUGGCUCGAAAAAAGAGCGUCAACGAUGAUGCCGCAAAUCGAUUCAAACGUGUCAACUAUGAUCGCAACCUCAGAAAUAUCCGAGCGAAAGGAGAAAUCAAUCCACCUGGGAUGGAUGAAGGAAAUUCAAAGGCAACCCAGACACUCGAUGCAUGGCCAUUGUUGCAUUACAAUAACAUUCGAGGGAUCGAUUGUGACAUUCUCUUGGAGGAAGCACACUCAGAUUGGAACAAUGCCCUCCAGCAAAGAAAGCAACAGCACGAGGAGUAUCUUCAGCAACAGCAAAAAGAUGCGUCAAAAGGGAAUCUAUCUGGAACUGGAUCAGUACCCCCACCACCUGGCCAGCAAGGCACAAUGGGAGCUCCCGGAGGCCUACCCGCGGCAGGAGCCGGUGCAGGAGGACUAUUUCAUUCGGGUACACAGUUUUUCUCAAAUUUGUGGCAUGGAUACCAUCAUAGUGCGCAUGAUAACUCUAAUACUCGUAAUUCUACUACUACUUCUACUACUCUCAAUGUAACUAGUUCUUGUAAUACUUCUACUACUACUAGCAAUACUACUACCAAUAGUCUAUAUAACAAUGCUACUGCAAAUAAUACAUCAACUGUGUUGUUUAAUCAACAUCAUGAUCAAACUGCAGCUCAACAACAACCCCAAUCAUCCCAAUCAACGCAACAGCAAAAAUAUAGUCCUUCGCAAUAUCAACAACAAGAACACCUUUCUGCAUCGGCCAAUAGUAGUGGUGGUAGUCAAGGAUUAACGAGUGCAAUGCAAAAAUCAAAAUCAUCAUCGAACGUCGGACAAUUUGUAUCCAAAAAGAUAUGGAAGUCCCGAUCGAAAAGUCAAAGUCGUAUACCAGCUACAAAUAAGCCUCAAUGGGCACCGCAGGGCAAUUGUAUAUGGAUGUCACCAAGUGGAAAACGUGUCGUACUAUCUGAUGGUCGUUUACGUGAUUUAUCAGAAAUAGAACGAAAAAUUUUACAUCGUGUAGCCAUUGAAAAGAUUAAUCAACUUAAUAUUGGAGUAAACGUUACAGUACCUGGAGAUAUCUCAAGUUCCACAUCGUCUAAAUCACAGAAACGCCGACCAUUAUUAAUUAAACGAAAAGCAUUAACAACUAGCAUUUUUGAUACCGGAAAAAAAGACGAAAAUAAAGUUAAUGGUGGCGGCCUGGUUUUUGGCGUAAGCAUAGAAAAAUGCGUUGACAAUGAUCGUUUGCACAAAAACGGUGGUGUUAGUGGUGGAGGCGGAGGUGGAUCAGAUCGUGGAUCACGGAAUUCUAUAAUAUCACUCUUGGGAGGCGGCAGUCACAACAAAGUAGGAUCAUGUGAAAGUUUACCUUCACGUUCUACCAACAUCCUGGGGCAAUAUGAUGAUAGUGGCGGAGGUGGUGGGACUGGGGGUGGUGGCUGUCGUAAUAGUUUUAUAAAUACUGCAACAAUGAAAAUGUCUCGAAGUCAAACGGACGUGAGACGAGGUAGUCAGGACGAGGACGAUUUGUUGGGUCACGAUGCACCAAAUAUGGCUGGUACAGAACCUAAUUCCGGACAACAAGUACCUGCGUUAGUGUUGGAAUGUAUUAAACAUAUAGAAGAGCAUGGUCUCCAUACUGUAGGCAUAUUUCGUGUUAGUACGUCUAAGAAACGUGUUAGGCAGUUGAAAGAAGGGUUUGAUCGGGGCGAAAUAACAUCAAUCGACGCUGAUAUAUGCCCGCAUGAUGUCGCCACCAUUCUUAAGGAGUACCUCCGAGAUCUGCCGGAGCCAUUACUCUGUCGAAGCCUAUACAAAGCCUUCGUGAAAACCCAAAAAAUACGUAAUCGACGGUUACAACUGGAGGCCCUCUCGCACCUUAUUCAACUCCUUCCAGUAGCACAUCGUGAUACUCUCUACGUAUUACUGCGAUUUCUAGCGAAAAUUGUUAGGUCAUCAGAUGAUGUAACGUCAAAUGAUACAGUAAUCACGGGCAAUAAAAUGGAUAGUAACAAUUUGGCAACGGUUAUAGCCCCAAAUAUCCUAAGGUCUACAGAGCCUGGGCGCAGUAAUACCACGGAACAAGAAAUCGAUGAACAAAUUGAUGUGAUUAAUGUGAUAAGAACAAUGAUUGAUCAUUACGAAGAGCUAUUUCGUAUACCAGCCGAACUGAUGGAUGAGAUCUAUACAAAUAUGAUGGAUACAUAUCCGGAACAAUUAGACUACCUUUGUGAAAGGAGAGACAUUGCGGAGCGAUAUGAUGAUGAUAUGGACAGCGCCAGUUCCAGCACACCUUUGAGUUCACCGCCUCCUGUUCCAAUACUGAAACACACCUCAUUUCCUCAACAUUCUGUGGCGUUUGAAGAAAGUGGUCCAGGUGCUCCAAAUGAUAAAAAUAUAACAAACCGACCGAUAUAUUCACGAGACGAUUUCCUUCAUGAAAACACUAUUAAAGGCGGUGAUCCCAAUGGGAAUGCCGCAACACAAAGGCGGGAGCGAACAUCGAGAAUGAAAUAUAUCGAAAGCGAGCACGAACUCACUCGACGACGGCGACGUGAACGAAAUCUUAGUGAAUCCGGAACGGGGGCAGGAACUCCUUCACCAACAAAAACAACAUUCAAUAGCAGUAGCACUAAUUGGAUACCAUUUAGCGUCGAGUCGCGAAACUCUACCGGUGACUCUGGAAUUCAACAAUAUCAGCAACAACAAACUGUUAAUCAAACCCAGCAGGGGCAGUUUCAACAGCAACAAUCAGCUCAAUCACGGAGAUUAUUCCCGCCAUAUGGUGAUCAGGAUGGUGCAGGGGUUGUGACAGCUAGCCUAAAAAUUCCUGUACAGAUGCAACAAUCGCAGCAGCAGCAGAACCCGAGGAAUCAAGCAAACAUGUGUGAUACAACUAAUAGUGGACAUAUAGAUCUAUCGGAUAUUCCGUAUAUUGAGGAUAAUGGCUGUGGACAGGAUAUUUUAACAGGAUCGUUACAUUUCGGGCGAGGUUCAGGCGCGGUGACCACUGGUACAACAACCUAUCAAAUUCCCAUCACUAUCGAAGGACGCACAACCUCCUCGUCAUCUACGAUGUCUGACCAGUCGCGAUCGUCAACGAUGCACCAAUAUAACACAGAUGAAACAUCAUCAGCGGCGAGCAGUAGACGAUCUUCAGAUAAUACCAGCAUCAUUUUACAGAAAUACCCUUCAGCCCUGGCAUCCCAACAGCAAGGUACACAACCGAAACGUCCUGAUAGCUUAAAACGGUCAUCAGGACGAAAGCAAUCCAACAACAUCCCAACGAGUGGUAGUGGGACAACUGGCGAAAAUAGUCCUAGUGGUGUACCAGUCCUAUCACCAACAACCCUUAUCGGACAGUUUGGUAGCCUCCAGGCAGCCCACCAUCACCAUCCCAACGCUGAACCUAAACUAACUCCAAGCAUUUCAAGUAUUGGUGGGGCCGUGUUACGCUCAAAAACUGCUGAUUUUGAAAGAAUCCUGAAGCAAAAUAAAAAGUCUAAAAGUGGUGAUACUACCUCAACAGCGGUAGAGGAAUUCAUAACGGGUUCUACCUCAGUGUCUAGUAGUUCUGCGGGCACAAUAGCUACUUCAACAGGUAGUGGAACUGCUGAAGAUUCAUCAAGACCUGAAAAAACCGCACGAAGUCGACAACAACAGACUGUCAGUCCUGCCGGGCCAAUUUACAAGCGCCAGGAACUAAUAUCAAGUGCACAAAGGACUUCGAAAUAGCAUUAAAUCGUGGAAUACGGGGGAGUGUUAUAAGCAAUAGUGCUGAAACUCUACCGGAUCACCUGGAAAUAUACGCCACGUGCUCUUACUCAUUCUACUCGUCAAGGUGAAUUAUUAAAAAAAAAAACUUAUUAUUUGAUAUUUUGAUUAGAAAGUUAACUUUUAAUAUAAAUUAAUGAUAAUAAAUUGAAAUCAAGUGUUCUAGUCGAAAGAAAAAAACACGGCAAUACCAAGUUGGUUGUUUACAAUUUAUAAUUUUGAUAUUUAAUAAUAAAAUAAUAUUAUAAAAGUAAGAAAGAGAGAAAGGUGGAUAAAAUGUGAAUAUAUACCAAAGAAAACCACAUUAAUUUUCAUUCAUUACAAGAAAAUAAUUAAGAAAAUUAAACUAUAUAUGUUUCUCCCCCUUGAGAAAUUAGAAUGAUUCAUAUUAUAUUGUUUUUAUUUCCAUUGUUUUUAAUAUUAUAUUGAACUUGUUUUAGUUUGAACCACGCCAUCUUUAUUGUUAAUUUAUCUUUGUUCAUUUUAUAUUUUUUAUUCGUUGAACGUCACAUGGAAAAUUGUGAAAUUAAGAUACAUGUUCAGACUGUUACGAUGCCGUUGUUUUAUUUUCUACUAUUAUUGAAAAUCAUUAAACCUAAAAAAAAAAAAAACAAACCAAAAAAAAUAAGUAAAACGUACACCAUUUUGUUACACCAUUUUUGUUAUUAGAACAUUUUUAUUGUAGUUAUCGCAAUGUUAUAAUUUAUUUGCUGGAAAAAGUUUUUUGUCUACCGUAUUUGUAUUCAUGGAAAUAUAAUUGUUCGAAUUUGCUACCUAAAAUUGAUGCAUUUCAUGCACACCUCACAUGCAGACACACAAAUCUUGAUAAAUCAAAGAACGUGUAAAAUCAGUGGCACAAAAUGUGAAAAUACACAAACAUAUAUACAUAAUAA
This 7305-nucleotide unclassified non-coding RNA is filed under the name Hermetia illucens (black soldier fly). RNAcentral describes it as "uncharacterized LOC119660885, transcript variant X1". The record is from RNAcentral. Lineage: Eukaryota; Metazoa; Arthropoda; Insecta; Diptera; Stratiomyidae.